UACGGAGGAUCCGAGCGUUAUCCGGAUUUAUUGGGUUUAAAGGGUGCGCAGGCGGGAAAUUAAGUCGGCGGUGAAAUUUUGCGGCUCAACCGUAAAAGUGCCUUCGAUACUGGUUUUCUUGAGUGUAGCUGAAGUAGGCGGAAUUUGUGGUGUAGCGGUGAAAUGCAUAGAUAUCACACAGAAUAUCAAUUGCGAAGGCAGCUCACAAAGCCAAGAUUGACGCUGAGGCACGAAAGUGUGGGGAUCAAACAGGAUUAGAUACCCGCGUA
RNAcentral lists this ribosomal RNA (269 nucleotides) under uncultured prokaryote. Its description in RNAcentral is "partial 16S ribosomal RNA". It matches the Rfam family "Bacterial small subunit ribosomal RNA", at positions 524 to 792 of the family's 1533-position model. The record is from RNAcentral.